UGGCAUACGGCUCAGUAACACGUAGUCAACAUGCCCAGGGGACGUGGAUAACCUCGGGAAACUGAGGAUAAACCGCGAUAGGUCACGAUUUCUGGAAUGAUUCAUGGCCCCAAAUCUAUAUGGCCCCUGGAUUGGACUGCGGCCGAUCAGGCUGUUGGUGAGGUAAUGGCCCACCAAACCUGUUACCGGUACGGGCUCUGAGAGGAGGAGCCCGGAGAUGGGCACUGAGACAAGGGCCCAGGCCCUAUGGGGCGCAGCAGGCGCGAAACCUCUGCAAUAGGCGAAAGCCUGACAGGGUUACUCUGAGUGGUUUCCGCUAAGGGAACCUUUUGGCACCUCUACAAAUGGUGCAGAAUAAGGGGUGGGCAAGUCUGGUGUCAGCCGCCGCGGUAAUACCAGCACCCCGAGUGGUCGGGACGAUUAUUGGGCCUAAAGCAUCCGUAGCCGGUCCUGCAAGUCUUCCGUUAAAUCCAGCUGCUCAACAGAUGGGCUGCGGGGGAUACUACAUGGCUAGGAGGCGGGAGAGGCAAGCGGUACUUUAUGGGUAGGGGUAAAAUCCGUUGAUCCAUAGAAGACCACCAGUGGCGAAGGCGGCUUGCCAGAACGCGCUCGACGGUGAGGGAUGAAAGCUGGGGGAGCAAACCGGAUUAGAUACCCGGGUAGUCCCAGCUGUAAACGAUGCAGACUCGGUGAUGGGCUGGCUUCGUGCCAACCCAGUGCCGCAGGGAAGCCGUUAAGUCUGCCGCCUGGGGAGUACGGUCGCAAGACUGAAACUUAAAGGAAUUGGCGGGGGAGCACCACAAGGGGUGAAGCCUGCGGUUCAAUUGGAGUCAACGCCGGGA
This 842-nucleotide ribosomal RNA is filed under the name uncultured archaeon. RNAcentral's name for it is "bacterial SSU rRNA". It matches the Rfam family "Archaeal small subunit ribosomal RNA", at positions 79 to 923 of the family's 1478-position model. The record is from RNAcentral.